CCUACGGGUGGCAGCAGUGAGGAAUAUUGGUCAAUGGACGAGAGUCUGAACCAGCCAAGUAGCGUGAAGGAUGACUGCCCUAUGGGUUGUAAACUUCUUUUAUAUGGGAAUAAAACGUUCCACGUGUGGGAUUUUGUAUGUACCAUAUGAAUAAGGAUCGGCUAACUCCGUGCCAGCAGCCGCGGUAAUACGGAGGAUCCGAGCGUUAUCCGGAUUUAUUGGGUUUAAAGGGAGCGUAGGUGGAUUGUUAAGUCAGUUGUGAAAGUUGCGGCUCAACCGUAAAAUUGCAGUUGAAACUGGCAGUCUUGAGGACAGUAGAGGUGGGCGGAAUUCGUGGUGUAGCGGUGAAAUGCUUAGAUAUCACGAAGAACUCCGAUUGCGAAGGCAGUUCACUGGACUGCAACUGACACUGAGGCUCGAAAGUGUGGGUAUCAAACAGGAUUAGAUACCCCAGUAGUC
This 459-nucleotide ribosomal RNA is filed under the name uncultured bacterium. RNAcentral's name for it is "partial 16S ribosomal RNA". It matches the Rfam family "Bacterial small subunit ribosomal RNA", at positions 338 to 795 of the family's 1533-position model. The record is from RNAcentral.